RNAcentral lists this ribosomal RNA (496 nucleotides) under uncultured bacterium. RNAcentral describes it as "partial 16S ribosomal RNA". It matches the Rfam family "Bacterial small subunit ribosomal RNA", at positions 29 to 507 of the family's 1533-position model. The record is from RNAcentral.
ACGAACGCUGGCGGCGUGCCUAAUACAUGCCAGUUGAGCGCUGAAGGUUGGUACUUGUACCAACUGGAUGAGCAGCGAACGGGUGAGUAACGCGUGGGGAAUCUGCCUUUGAGCGGGGGACAACAUUUGGAAACGAAUGCUAAUACCGCAUAAAAACUUUAAACACAAGUUUUAAGUUUGAAAGAUGCAAUUGCAUCACUCAAAGAUGAUCCCGCGUUGUAUUAGCUAGUUGGUGAGGUAAAGGCUCACCAAGGCGAUGAUACAUAGCCGACCUGAGAGGGUGAUCGGCCACAUUGGGACUGAGACACGGCCCAAACUCCUACGGGGGGCAGCAGUAGGGAAUCUUCGGCAAUGGACGAAAGUCUGACCGAGCAACGCCGCGUGAGUGAAGAAGGUUUUCGGAUCGUAAAACUCUGUUGGUAGAGAAGAACGUUGGAGAGAGUGGAAAGCUCAUCAAGUGACGGUAACUACCCAGAAAGGGACGGCUAACUACGUG